Molecule: transfer RNA, 69 nt
Filed under: Vespula rufa
Lineage: Eukaryota; Metazoa; Arthropoda; Insecta; Hymenoptera; Vespidae
Description: tRNA-Ala
Source: RNAcentral
AGGAUAUUAGUUAAAUUCUAUAACAUUUAUAUUGCAAAUAAAAAUUAUUUUUUUUUAAAAUAUAUCUUU